Triticum aestivum (bread wheat) is the source of this 771-nucleotide long non-coding RNA. RefSeq lists it as uncharacterized. The record is from RefSeq and is a predicted model, not a curated record. Lineage: Eukaryota; Viridiplantae; Streptophyta; Magnoliopsida; Poales; Poaceae. The transcript is spliced from 3 exons.
UGUGAAUUAAUUUCUGCCUCAGGUCAAAUAUGUGAUUUCUGCCCCUCUCUCCCCUAGGCAGGCGGCGGCGCCCGUGUUCCUCUGCUCAGCUUCGGUACAUCCAACGCGAUUUGCCCUUUCUCUUUCCCGUCCCCCCAAACUCGGCGGCGGCACAUCUCCUCUCCGGCGCCAUAUCUGCCGGUGGCAUCGAGCGCUACCGGCGGGGCGGCAGGUUAAUUCGAUGCAACCCAUGGCUGUGGUGCCUCGGGUGGAGUCGCAAGCUUCGAUGAGAGUCGCAGAUGGCCAGAUUUGUCGCGUUGCCGAUCUAGCAGUGCCCAACUCCGGUGAUUUCCAGUUGGACUGAAACGGGGGAUUUAAGGUGUGCUCUGAAGCUACGAGCAGAUGGACAAGAAGGUAUAGCGCCUGCGAAGGACUGACGUACUGCAGGUCGACAUACUUCAAGAGAAUAAGCAAAAGUCUAGGUUCUGCACCAUACGUCAAGGUCAGGGACACAAGAUUAUCACAUGCAUGUGCUGAACAAGGCUCCGAGGAAAUUGCCAAAGUGUUCGAAGUGUGUAGUGCUUGGUCACAGGAAGAAUGUGUGACUUACCGAUCAAUUUGAGCCGAACUUCCUUUAGCCCCGCUUUAUCAAAUGUAGCAAGAGUGUUUUGAAAUUCAGUUUCUCUACAUUUCAGUUCAUAAUUUUGUUCAUGUUCACCGGGUCAUUGGUGUGAUGACCGUUUGGGACUUAAUGAGAUAUUUUAUUCGAAUUGUCGGGACAUUUAGUUGAUA